UUGAAACUCAAAGGAAUUGACGGAAGCCCGCACAAGCAGUGGAGUAUGUGGUUUAAUUCGACGCAACGCGAAGAACCUUACCGGAGCUUGACAUCCCUCUGACAGCCGAGUAAUGUUGGUUUUCCUUCGGGACAGAGGAGACAGGUGGUGCAUGGUUGUCGUCAGCUCGUGUCGUGAGAUGUUGGGUUAAGUCCCGCAACGAGCGCAACCCUUACGGUCAGUUGCUACGCAAGAGCACUCUGGCCGGACUGCCGUUGACAAAACGGAGGAAGGUGGGGACGACGUCAAAUCAUCAUGCCCCUUACGCCCCGGGCUACACACGUACUACAAUGGCGCAAACAAAGGGAAGCGAAGCCGCGAGGUGGAGCAAAUCCCUAAAAGGCGUCCCAGUUCGGAUUGCAGGCUGCAACCCGCCUGUAUGAAGUUGGAAUUGCUAGUAAUCGCGGAUCAGCAUGCCGCGGUGAAUACGUUCCCGGGCUUUGUACACACCGCCCGUCAAACCAUGAAAGUCGGGAACACCC
Molecule: ribosomal RNA, 521 nt
Filed under: uncultured Bacillota bacterium
Lineage: Bacteria; Bacillati; Bacillota
Description: bacterial SSU rRNA
Rfam family: Bacterial small subunit ribosomal RNA
Source: RNAcentral